This 237-nucleotide ribosomal RNA is filed under the name uncultured Rhodocyclales bacterium. RNAcentral describes it as "partial 16S ribosomal RNA". It matches the Rfam family "Bacterial small subunit ribosomal RNA", at positions 100 to 334 of the family's 1533-position model. The record is from RNAcentral. Lineage: Bacteria; Pseudomonadati; Pseudomonadota; Betaproteobacteria; Rhodocyclales.
CGGAACGGGUGAGUAAUACAUCGGAACGUGUCGAGAAGAGGGGGAUAACCACCCGAGAGGGUGGCUAAUACCGCAUAAAUUCUGAGGAAGAAAGCUGGGGACCUAGGAAUAGGCCUAGCGCUUUUUGAGCGGCCGAUGUCGGAUUAGCUAGUUGGUGAGGUAAAGGCUCACCAAGGCGAAGAUCUGUAGCGGGUCUGAGAGGAUGAUCCGCCACACUGGGACUGAGACACGGCCCAG